RNAcentral lists this long non-coding RNA (372 nucleotides) under Phasianus colchicus (ring-necked pheasant). RNAcentral's name for it is "lncRNA (ENSPCLG00000020190.1)". The record is from RNAcentral. Lineage: Eukaryota; Metazoa; Chordata; Aves; Galliformes; Phasianidae.
CAGUCAGUACAGACUGAUGGUGUUAUCACUGAUUUCUGUCAGUCAGUACAGCCAGAGCCAUCCCUGCGCAGUGUCAGUCGGUACAGACUGAUGCUGGUGUUCUCACUGACUUCUGUCAGUCAGUACAGCCAGAAUCAUCCCUGCGCAGUGUCAGUCGGUACAGACUGACAUUGGUGUUCUCAUUGACUUCUGUCAGUCGGUACAGCCAGAAUCAGCCCUGCGCUGUGUUACGACACUACAGCCUGACGUCGUCCCUGCGCUGUGUCAGUCGGUACAGAGUGAUGCUGGUGUUCUCAUUGACUUCUGUCAGUCGGUACAGCCUGACGUUGGUGUUCUCACUGAGUUCUGUCAGUCAGUACAGCCAGAAUCACC